RNAcentral lists this ribosomal RNA (253 nucleotides) under uncultured bacterium. RNAcentral's name for it is "partial 16S ribosomal RNA". It matches the Rfam family "Bacterial small subunit ribosomal RNA", at positions 524 to 776 of the family's 1533-position model. The record is from RNAcentral.
UACGAAGGGGACUAGCGUUGUUCGGAAUCACUGGGCGUAAAGCGCACGUAGGCGGAUUUGUAAGUCAGGGGUGAAAUCCCGGGGCUCAACCUCGGAACUGCCUUUGAUACUGCGGAUCUCGAGUCCGAUAGAGGUGAGUGGAAUUCCUAGCGUAGAGGUGAAAUUCGUAGAUAUUAGGAAGAACACCAGUGGCGAAGGCGGCUCACUGGAUCGGUACUGACGCUGAGGUGCGAAAGCGUGGGGAGCAAACAGG